UCGCCGAAGUACUCGCCAUCGCCCAGCAGAGCAAUCCGCAAAUCCUCGCCGUGAGGUCCCUUGCUGAUAACCUCGGCCUGACCUGAAGCAACAAUGAAGAAACGCUGCUUGUCCUUACCCUCCUCGACAAAAAGUUUAUCAACAUCAACCUCUUUGGCCUCGAACGAGCUUACCAAACGAUGCAGAAUCUCAUCGUCGAACUCUGAGAACAGAGGGAUGGCCUUCAGGUCCUUUGCUGUAAACGAAGGUACACCAUUCUGGAAAGUAAUGGGCAGACGAUCGUUCUUACGAAGUUCAACCUUUGUACGGUUCACACGGAAUGUACCACCCGAUACCUGCACCCAAGGCAGCAGUUUCAGGAGUAGUCUGGGAGUGAUUGAGCCCAUCUGUGGGGCUGUCUUGGUAGUGGUUGCCAGUCUUCUGGCGGUAGCAGU
Molecule: non-coding RNA, 434 nt
Filed under: uncultured Prevotella sp.
Lineage: Bacteria; Pseudomonadati; Bacteroidota; Bacteroidia; Bacteroidales; Prevotellaceae
Source: RNAcentral